This 253-nucleotide ribosomal RNA is filed under the name uncultured bacterium. RNAcentral's name for it is "partial 16S ribosomal RNA". It matches the Rfam family "Bacterial small subunit ribosomal RNA", at positions 524 to 776 of the family's 1533-position model. The record is from RNAcentral.
UACGUAGGUGGCGAGCGUUGUCCGGAAUUACUGGGUGUAAAGGGCGUGUAGGCGGGGGCUCAAGUCGGAUGUGAAAUACCGUGGCUCAACAACGGGGCUGCAUCCGAAACUGUGCCUCUUGAGUACCGGAGAGGAAAGUGGAAUUCCCAGUGUAGCGGUGAAAUGCGUAGAUAUUGGGAGGAACACCAGUGGCGAAGGCGACUUUCUGGACGGUAACUGACGCUGAGGCGAGAAGGCGUGGGGAGCAAACAGG